GGGGGUGUAGUUCAGUUGGUUAGAAUGCCGGCCUGUCACGCCGGAGGUCGCGGGUUCGAGCCCCGUCGCUCCCGCCA
This 77-nucleotide transfer RNA is filed under the name Magnetococcales bacterium. RNAcentral's name for it is "tRNA-Asp". It matches the Rfam family "tRNA". From Rfam's summary of the family: Transfer RNA (tRNA) molecules are approximately 80 nucleotides in length. Their secondary structure includes four short double-helical elements and three loops (D, anti-codon, and T loops). Lineage: Bacteria; Pseudomonadati; Pseudomonadota; Magnetococcia; Magnetococcales. The record is from RNAcentral.